RNAcentral lists this ribosomal RNA (465 nucleotides) under uncultured bacterium. Its description in RNAcentral is "partial 16S ribosomal RNA". It matches the Rfam family "Bacterial small subunit ribosomal RNA", at positions 28 to 507 of the family's 1533-position model. The record is from RNAcentral.
GACGAACGCUGGCGGCGUGCUUAACACAUGCAAGUCGAACGGAAAGGCCCUGCUUGCAGGGUACUCGAGUGGCGAACGGGUGAGUAACACGUGGGUGAUCUGCCCUGCACUUCGGGAUAAGCCUGGGAAACUGGGUCUAAUACCGGAUAGGAGCCAUUUUUAGUGUGAUGGUUGGAAAGUUUUUUCGGUGUAGGAUGAGCUCGCGGCCUAUCAGCUUGUUGGUGGGGUAAUGGCCUACCAAGGCGGCGACGGGUAGCCGGCCUGAGAGGGUGGACGGCCACAUUGGGACUGAGAGACGGCCCAGGCGCCUACGGGAGGCAGCAGGGGGGAAUGUUGCACGAUGGGCGCCAGCCUGAUGCAGCGCCGCCGCGUGGGGGAUGACGGUCUUCGGGUUGUAAACUCCUUUCGCUAGGGACGAAGCUUUUUGUGACGGUACCUAGAUAAGAAGCACCGGCUAACUACGUG